This 1369-nucleotide ribosomal RNA is filed under the name uncultured bacterium. RNAcentral describes it as "bacterial SSU rRNA". It matches the Rfam family "Bacterial small subunit ribosomal RNA", at positions 28 to 1381 of the family's 1533-position model. The record is from RNAcentral.
GACGAACGCUGGCGGCGUGCCUAAUACAUGCAAGUAGAACGCUGAAGAGAGGAGCUUGCUCUUCUUGGAUGAGUUGCGAACGGGUGAGUAACGCGUAGGUAACCUGCCUUGUAGCGGGGGAUAACUAUUGGAAACGAUAGCUAAUACCGCAUAACAAUGGAUGACACAUGUCAUUUAUUUGAAAGGGGCAAUUGCUCCACUACAAGAUGGACCUGCGUUGUAUUAGCUAGUAGGUGAGGUAACGGCUCACCUAGGCGACGAUACAUAGCCGACCUGAGAGGGUGAUCGGCCACACUGGGACUGAGACACGGCCCAGACUCCUACGGGAGGCAGCAGUAGGGAAUCUUCGGCAAUGGGGGCAACCCUGACCGAGCAACGCCGCGUGAGUGAAGAAGGUUUUCGGAUCGUAAAGCUCUGUUGUAAGUCAAGAACGAGUGUGAGAGUGGAAAGUUCACACUGUGACGGUAGCUUACCAGAAAGGGACGGCUAACUACGUGCCAGCAGCCGCGGUAAUACGUAGGUCCCGAGCGUUGUCCGGAUUUAUUGGGCGUAAAGCGAGCGCAGGCGGUUUGAUAAGUCUGAAGUUAAAGGCUGUGGCCCAACCAUAGUUCGCUUUGGAAACUGUCAAACUUGAGUGCAGAAGGGGAGAGUGGAAUUCCAUGUGUAGCGGUGAAAUGCGUAGAUAUAUGGAGGAACACCGGUGGCGAAAGCGGCUCUCUGGUCUGUAACUGACGCUGAGGCUCGAGAGCGUGGGGAGCGAACAGGAUUAGAUACCCUGGUAGUCCACGCCGUAAACGAUGAGUGCUAGGUGUUGGAUCCUUUCCGGGAUUCAGUGCCGCAGCUAACGCAUUAAGCACUCCGCCUGGGGAGUACGACCGCAAGGUUGAAACUCAAAGGAAUUGACGGGGGCCCGCACAAGCGGUGGAGCAUGUGGUUUAAUUCGAAGCAACGCGAAGAACCUUACCAGGUCUUGACAUCCCGAUGCUAUUUCUAGAGAUAGAAAGUUACUUCGGUACAUCGGUGACAGGUGGUGCAUGGUUGUCGUCAGCUCGUGUCGUGAGAUGUUGGGUUAAGUCCCGCAACGAGCGCAACCCCUAUUGUUAGUUGCCAUCAUUCAGUUGGGCACUCUAGCGAGACUGCCGGUAAUAAACCGGAGGAAGGUGGGGAUGACGUCAAAUCAUCAUGCCCCUUAUGACCUGGGCUACACACGUGCUACAAUGGUUGGUACAACGAGUUGCGAGUCGGUGACGGCAAGCUAAUCUCUUAAAGCCAAUCUCAGUUCGGAUUGUAGGCUGCAACUCGCCUACAUGAAGUCGGAAUCGCUAGUAAUCGCGGAUCAGCACGCCGCGGUGAAUACGUUCCCGGGCCU